CUGUGAGCAAAACUUGAACCCUGAUGCCAACCCACGCCCCACAGCCCAGGACCUGGCAGGGUUCUGGGACCUGCUACAGCUGUCCAUCGAGGACAUCAGCAUGAAGUUUGAUGAACUCUACCACCUCAAGGCCAACAGCUGGCAGCUGGUGGAGACCCCCGAGAAGAGGAAGGUGAGCAUGGAGCAGUGCGGAGGGGAAGUCCAGGGACAAAUUCCUGGUCGGCAAUAACGCUGCCCACAUCGGAAGAGAAGAAACCACCCCCUCCGGUCCCAAAGAAGCCAGCCAAAUCCAAGCCGGCAGUGAGCCGCGACAAGGCCUCAGACGCCAGCGACAAGCAGCGCCAGGAGGCCCGCAAGAGACUCCUGGCGGCCAAGCGGGCAGCUUCUGUGCGGCAGAACUCAGCCACCGAGAGCGCAGACAGCAUCGAGAUUUAUGUCCCGGAGGCCCAGACCAGGCUCUGAGACCACGCAGGAGGAAAGAAACGAUUUU
This 490-nucleotide small RNA is filed under the name Pan troglodytes (chimpanzee). RNAcentral's name for it is "processed transcript". The record is from RNAcentral. Lineage: Eukaryota; Metazoa; Chordata; Mammalia; Primates; Hominidae.